Molecule: ribosomal RNA, 1204 nt
Filed under: metagenome
Description: SSU rRNA
Rfam family: Eukaryotic small subunit ribosomal RNA
Source: RNAcentral
AAUCCCUUAACGAGGAACAAUUGGAGUGCAAGUCUGGUGCCAGCAGCCGCGGUAAUUCCAGCUCCAAUAGCGUAUAUUAAAGUUGUUGCAGUUAAAAAGCUCGUAGUUGAACUUCAGACCUGGCUGGGCGGUCUGCCUCGCGGUAUGUACUGUCCGGCUGGGCCUUACCUCUUGGUGAGCCGGCGUGCCCUUUAUUGGUGUGCGUCGGGGAACCAGGACUUUUACCUUGAGAAAAUUAGAGUGUUCAAAGCAGGCCUAUGCCUGAAUACAUUAGCAUGGAAUAAUAAAAUAGGACGUGCGGUUCUAUUUUGUUGGUUUCUAGAGUCGCCGUAAUGAUUAAUAGGGAUAGUUGGGGGCAUUGGUAUUGAGUCGCUAGAGGUGAAAUUCUUGGAUUGACUCAAGACCAACUACUGCGAAAGCAUUCCCAAGGAUGUUUUCAUUAAUCAAGAACGAAGGUUAGGGGAUCGAAAACGAUCAGAUACCGUUGUAGUCUUAACAGUAAACUAUGCCGACUAGGGAUCGGGCGACCUCACAAUGAUGUGUCGCUCGGCACCUUACGAGAAAUCAAGUCUUUGGGUUCUGGGGGGAGUAUGGUCGCAAGGCUGAAACUUAAAGGAAUUGACGGAAGGGCACCACCAGGUGUGGAGCCUGCGGCUUAAUUUGACCCAACACGGGGAAACUCACCAGGUCCAGACAUAACUAGGAUUGACAGAUUGAUAGCUCUUUCAUGAUUCUAUGGGUGGUGGUGCAUGGCCGUUCUUCUUUGGUGGAGUGAUUUGUCUGGUUAAUUCCGAUAACGAACGAGACCUUAACCUGCUAAAUAGCCAGGCCGGCUUUGGCUGGUCGCCGGCUUCUUAGAGGGACUGUCAGUGUCUAAUUGACGGAAGUUUGAGGCAAUAACAGGUCUGCGAUGCCCUUAGAUGUUCUGGGCCGCACGCGCGCUACACUGACAGAGCCAGCGAGUAUACACCUUGGCCGGAAGGUUUGGGUAAUCUUGUGAAACUCUGUCGUGCUGGGGAUAGAGCAUUGCAAUUAUUGCUCUUCAACGUGGAAUACCUAGUAAGCGUGAGUCAUCAGCUCGCGUUGAUUACGUCCCUGCCCUUUGUACACACCGCCCGUCGCUACUACCGAUUGAAUGGCUUAGUGAGGUCUCCGGAUUAGCUUUGGGGAGCCGGAAACGGCACCUUAUCGCUGAGAAGCUGAU